This 1528-nucleotide ribosomal RNA is filed under the name Klebsiella pneumoniae. Its description in RNAcentral is "bacterial SSU rRNA". It matches the Rfam family "Bacterial small subunit ribosomal RNA". The record is from RNAcentral. Lineage: Bacteria; Pseudomonadati; Pseudomonadota; Gammaproteobacteria; Enterobacterales; Enterobacteriaceae.
AGAGUUUGAUCAUGGCUCAGAUUGAACGCUGGCGGCAGGCCUAACACAUGCAAGUCGAGCGGUAACACAGAGAGCUUGCUCUCGGGUGACGAGCGGCGGACGGGUGAGUAAUGUCUGGGAAACUGCCUGAUGGAGGGGGAUAACUACUGGAAACGGUAGCUAAUACCGCAUAACGUCGCAAGACCAAAGUGGGGGACCUUCGGGCCUCAUGCCAUCAGAUGUGCCCAGAUGGGAUUAGCUAGUAGGUGGGGUAACGGCUCACCUAGGCGACGAUCCCUAGCUGGUCUGAGAGGAUGACCAGCCACACUGGAACUGAGACACGGUCCAGACUCCUACGGGAGGCAGCAGUGGGGAAUAUUGCACAAUGGGCGCAAGCCUGAUGCAGCCAUGCCGCGUGUGUGAAGAAGGCCUUCGGGUUGUAAAGCACUUUCAGCGGGGAGGAAGGCGGUGAGGUUAAUAACCUCAUCGAUUGACGUUACCCGCAGAAGAAGCACCGGCUAACUCCGUGCCAGCAGCCGCGGUAAUACGGAGGGUGCAAGCGUUAAUCGGAAUUACUGGGCGUAAAGCGCACGCAGGCGGUCUGUCAAGUCGGAUGUGAAAUCCCCGGGCUCAACCUGGGAACUGCAUUCGAAACUGGCAGGCUAGAGUCUUGUAGAGGGGGGUAGAAUUCCAGGUGUAGCGGUGAAAUGCGUAGAGAUCUGGAGGAAUACCGGUGGCGAAGGCGGCCCCCUGGACAAAGACUGACGCUCAGGUGCGAAAGCGUGGGGAGCAAACAGGAUUAGAUACCCUGGUAGUCCACGCCGUAAACGAUGUCGAUUUGGAGGUUGUGCCCUUGAGGCGUGGCUUCCGGAGCUAACGCGUUAAAUCGACCGCCUGGGGAGUACGGCCGCAAGGUUAAAACUCAAAUGAAUUGACGGGGGCCCGCACAAGCGGUGGAGCAUGUGGUUUAAUUCGAUGCAACGCGAAGAACCUUACCUGGUCUUGACAUCCACAGAACUUUCCAGAGAUGGAUUGGUGCCUUCGGGAACUGUGAGACAGGUGCUGCAUGGCUGUCGUCAGCUCGUGUUGUGAAAUGUUGGGUUAAGUCCCGCAACGAGCGCAACCCUUAUCCUUUGUUGCCAGCGGUUAGGCCGGGAACUCAAAGGAGACUGCCAGUGAUAAACUGGAGGAAGGUGGGGAUGACGUCAAGUCAUCAUGGCCCUUACGACCAGGGCUACACACGUGCUACAAUGGCAUAUACAAAGAGAAGCGACCUCGCGAGAGCAAGCGGACCUCAUAAAGUAUGUCGUAGUCCGGAUUGGAGUCUGCAACUCGACUCCAUGAAGUCGGAAUCGCUAGUAAUCGUAGAUCAGAAUGCUACGGUGAAUACGUUCCCGGGCCUUGUACACACCGCCCGUCACACCAUGGGAGUGGGUUGCAAAAGAAGUAGGUAGCUUAACCUUCGGGAGGGCGCUUACCACUUUGUGAUUCAUGACUGGGGUGAAGUCGUAACAAGGUAACCGUAGGGGAACCUGCGGUUGGAUCACCU